AGGCCAGACUCCUACGGGAGGCAGCAGUGAGGAAUAUUGGUCAAUGGGCGCGAGCCUGAACCAGCCAAGUCGCGUGAGGGAUGACGGCCCUACGGGUUGUAAACCUCUUUUGUCGGGGAGCAAAUUCCGUUACGUGUAACGGAGUCGAGAAUACCCGAAGAAAAAGCAUCGGCUAACUCCGUGCCAGCAGCCGCGGUAAUACGGAGGAUGCGAGCGUUAUCCGGAUUUAUUGGGUUUAAAGGGUGCGUAGGCGGAAUGCCAAGUCAGCGGUAAAAUCGCGGGGCUCAACCUCGCUCCGCCGUUGAAACUGGCGUUCUUGAGUGGGCGAGAAGUAUGCGGAAUGCGUGGUGUAGCGGUGAAAUGCAUAGAUAUCACGCAGAACGCCGAUUGCGAAGGCAGCAUACCGGCGCCCAACUGACGCUGAGGCACGAAAGCGUGGGGAUCGAACAGGAUUAGAUACCCCCGUACC
RNAcentral lists this ribosomal RNA (469 nucleotides) under uncultured bacterium. RNAcentral describes it as "bacterial SSU rRNA". It matches the Rfam family "Bacterial small subunit ribosomal RNA", at positions 328 to 796 of the family's 1533-position model. The record is from RNAcentral.